GCCAGCAUAGUAUAACGGUUAGUACAUUCGACUCAUAUAGUCAAUCGAAAGAUCGUGGUUCGAUUCCGCGUGCCGGCA
Transfer RNA from Thecamonas trahens ATCC 50062, 78 nucleotides. It matches the Rfam family "tRNA". From Rfam's summary of the family: Transfer RNA (tRNA) molecules are approximately 80 nucleotides in length. Their secondary structure includes four short double-helical elements and three loops (D, anti-codon, and T loops). NCBI's taxonomy places the organism in Eukaryota, Apusomonadida, Apusomonadidae. The record is from Rfam.